UAUCGGAACGUGCCCUGGAGUGGGGGAUAACUAGUCGAAAGACUAGCUAAUACCGCAUACGAUCUACGGAUGAAAGUGGGGGAUCGCAAGACCUCAUGCUCGUGGAGCGGCCGAUAUCUGAUUAGCUAGUUAGUGGGGUAAAGGCCUACCAAGGCAUCGAUCAGUAGCUGGUCUGAGAGGACGACCAGCCACACUGGGACUGAGACACGGCCCAG
RNAcentral lists this ribosomal RNA (215 nucleotides) under uncultured bacterium. RNAcentral describes it as "partial 16S ribosomal RNA". It matches the Rfam family "Bacterial small subunit ribosomal RNA", at positions 116 to 334 of the family's 1533-position model. The record is from RNAcentral.